This 469-nucleotide ribosomal RNA is filed under the name uncultured bacterium. RNAcentral's name for it is "bacterial SSU rRNA". It matches the Rfam family "Bacterial small subunit ribosomal RNA", at positions 40 to 507 of the family's 1533-position model. The record is from RNAcentral.
CGGCAUGCCUUACACAUGCAAGUCGAACGGCAGCACGGAGCAAUCCUGGUGGCGAGUGGCGAACGGGUGAGUAAUAUAUCGGAACGUGCCCAGUCGUGGGGGAUAACGUAGCGAAAGCUACGCUAAUACCGCAUACGAUCUAUGGAUGAAAGCGGGGGAUCGCAAGACCUCGCGCGAUUGGAGCGGCCGAUAUCAGAUUAGGUAGUUGGUGAGGUAAAGGCUCACCAAGCCGACGAUCUGUAGCUGGUCUGAGAGGACGACCAGCCACACUGGGACUGAGACACGGCCCAGACUCCUACGGGAGGCAGCAGUGGGAAUUUUGGACAAUGGGCGCAAGCCUGAUCCAGCAAUGCCGCGUGCAGGAUGAAGGCCUUCGGGUUGUAAACUGCUUUGUACGGAACGAAACGGUGAGCUCUAAUACAGUUUGCUAAUGACGGUACCGUAAGAAUAAGCACCGGCUAACUACGUG